Elaeis guineensis (African oil palm) is the source of this 257-nucleotide long non-coding RNA. RefSeq lists it as uncharacterized. The record is from RefSeq and is a predicted model, not a curated record. NCBI's taxonomy places the organism in Eukaryota, Viridiplantae, Streptophyta, Magnoliopsida, Arecales, Arecaceae.
AUCGACAAGGGUGGAGGGGUGAGCGUGCGACGACGCCAGGGAGGGUGGAGGGGCGGGCUGCGGUCGGGCCAAGAGCGUGGUGACUGGCAAGCCGCAGAGAUCGGAGAUAGUGCUGCCGGAGCAUGAUCCCACCAGAUAUUGGUCCGAGCGGUGAGAAGAAAAGAAGAAGAAGGCACGGCCACAGCGAGGUCCAUCGCUCGUUUUGCUUAAUAAUUUUUUUAACUGAUUGUAUCAAAAUAAAUCAAUUUUUUAUUUAA